AAAAGAAACCAACAGGGAUUGCCCUAGUAACGGCGAGUGAAGCGGCAACAGCUCAAAUUUGAAAUCUGGCCUCUGGCCCGAGUUGUAAUUUGUAGAGGAUGCUUUUGGUGAGGUGCCUUCCGAGUUUCCCUGGAACGGGACGCCAUAGAGGGUGAGAGCCCCGUCUGGUCGGACACCGAUCCUCUGUAAAGCUCCUUCGACGAGUCGAGUAGUUUGGGAAUGCUGCUCUAAAUGGGAGGUAUAUGUCUUCUAAAGCUAAAUACCGGCCAGAGACCGAUAGCGCACAAGUAGAGUGAUCGAAAGAUGAAAAGCACUUUGAAAAGAGGGUUAAACAGUACGUGAAAUUGUUGAAAGGGAAGCGCUUGUGACCAGACUUGGGCUUGGUUAAUCAUCCAGUGUUCUUCACUGGUGCACUUGGCCGGCCCAGGCCAGCAUCAGUUCGGUGCGGGGGAUAAAGGCUUCGGGAAUGUGGCUCCUCCGGGAGUGUUAUAGCCCGUUGCGUAAUACCCUGCGCUGGACUGAGGUUCGCGCAUCUGCAAGGAUGCUGGCGUAAUGGUCAUCAGCGACCCGUCUUGAAACACGGACCAAGGAGUCGUCUUCGUAUGCGAGUGUUCGGGUGUUAAACCCCUACGCGUAAUGAAAGUGAACGCAGGUGAGAGCUUCGGCGCAUCAUCGACCGAUCCUGAUGUUCUCGGAUGGAUUUGAGUAAGAGCAUACGGGGCCGGACCCGAAAGAAGGUGAACUAUGCCUGUAUAGGGUGAAGCCAGAGGAAACUCUGGUGGAGGCUCGCAGCGGUUCUGACGUGCAAAUCGAUCGUCAAAUAUGGGCAUGGGGGCGAAAGACUAAUCGAACCUUCUAGUA
Molecule: ribosomal RNA, 861 nt
Filed under: Paracremonium variiforme
Lineage: Eukaryota; Fungi; Ascomycota; Sordariomycetes; Hypocreales; Nectriaceae
Description: eukaryotic LSU rRNA
Rfam family: Eukaryotic large subunit ribosomal RNA
Source: RNAcentral